Molecule: ribosomal RNA, 449 nt
Filed under: uncultured Methanosaeta sp.
Lineage: Archaea; Methanobacteriati; Methanobacteriota; Methanomicrobia; Methanotrichales; Methanotrichaceae
Description: bacterial SSU rRNA
Rfam family: Archaeal small subunit ribosomal RNA
Source: RNAcentral
GGAGCCUGCGGUUUAAUUGGAUUCAACGCCGGAAAUCUCACCGGGGCGACAGCAAUAUGAAGGUCAGGCUGAAGACCUUACCCGAUUUAGCUGAGAGGUGGUGCAUGGCCGUCGUCAGUUCGUACUGUGAAGCAUCCUGUUAAGUCAGGCAACGAGCGAGACCCACGUCCACAGUUGCCAGCAUACCCUCCGGGGUGAUGGGUACACUGUGGAGACCGCCGCUGCUAAAGCGGAGGAAGGAGUGGGCAACGGUAGGUCAGUAUGCCCCGAAUCUCCCGGGCUACACGCGGGCUACAAUGGUUGGUACAAUGGGCAUCUACCCCGAAAGGGGAAGGAAAUCUCUUAAAGCCAAUCGUAGUUCGGAUUGAGGGCUGCAACUCGCCCUCAUGAAGCUGGAAUCCGUAGUAAUCGCGUUUCAACAGAACGCGGUGAAUACGUCCCUGCUCCUU